This 1373-nucleotide ribosomal RNA is filed under the name uncultured bacterium. Its description in RNAcentral is "bacterial SSU rRNA". It matches the Rfam family "Bacterial small subunit ribosomal RNA", at positions 28 to 1381 of the family's 1533-position model. The record is from RNAcentral.
GAUGAACGCUGGCGGCGUGCCUAAUACAUGCAAGUCGAGCGAACGGACGAGAAGCUUGCUUCUCUGAUGUUAGCGGCGGACGGGUGAGUAACACGUGGAUAACCUACCUAUAAGACUGGGAUAACUUCGGGAAACCGGAGCUAAUACCGGAUAAUAUUUUGAACCGCAUGGUUCAAAAGUGAAAGACGGUCUUGCUGUCACUUAUAGAUGGAUCCGCGCUGCAUUAGCUAGUUGGUAAGGUAACGGCUUACCAAGGCAACGAUGCAUAGCCGACCUGAGAGGGUGAUCGGCCACACUGGAACUGAGACACGGUCCAGACUCCUACGGGAGGCAGCAGUAGGGAAUCUUCCGCAAUGGGCGAAAGCCUGACGGAGCAACGCCGCGUGAGUGAUGAAGGUCUUCGGAUCGUAAAACUCUGUUAUUAGGGAAGAACAUAUGUGUAAGUAACUGUGCACAUCUUGACGGUACCUAAUCAGAAAGCCACGGCUAACUACGUGCCAGCAGCCGCGGUAAUACGUAAGUGGCAAGCGUUAUCCGGAAUUAUUGGGCGUAAAGCGCGCGUAGGCGUUUUUUUAAGUCUGAUGUGAAAGCCCACGGGCUCACCCGUGGAGGGUCAUUGGAAACUGGGAAACUUGAGUGCAGAAGAGGAAAGUGGAAUUCCAUGUGUAGCGGUGAAAUGCGCAGAGAUAUGGAGGAACACCAGUGGCGAAGGCGACUUUCUGGUCUGUAACUGACGCUGAUGUGCGAAAGCGUGGGGAUCAAACAGGAUUAGAUACCCUGGUAGUCCACGCCGUAAACGAUGAGUGCUAAGUGUUAGGGGGUUUCCGCCCCUUAGUGCUGCAGCUAACGCAUUAAGCACUCCGCCUGGGGAGUACGACCGCAAGGUUGAAACUCAAAGGAAUUGACGGGGACCCGCACAAGCGGUGGAGCAUGUGGUUUAAUUCGAAGCAACGCGAAGAACCUUACCAAGUCUUGACAUCCUUUGACAACUCUAGAGAUAGAGCCUUCCCCUUCGGGGGACAAAGUGACAGGUGGUGCAUGGUUGUCGUCAGCUCGUGUCGUGAGAUGUUGGGUUAAGUCCCGCAACGAGCGCAACCCUUAAGCUUAGUUGCCAUCAUUAAGUUGGGCACUCUAAGUUGACUGCCGGUGAUAAACCGGAGGAAGGUGGGGAUGACGUCAAAUCAUCAUGCCCCUUAUGAUUUGGGCUACACACGUGCUACAAUGGACAAUACAAAGGGCAGCGAAACCGCGAGGUCAAGCAAAUCCCAUAAAGUUGUUCUCAGUUCGGAUUGUAGUCUGCAACUCGACUACAUGAAGCUGGAAUCGCUAGUAAUCGUAGAUCAGCAUGCUACGGUGAAUACGUUCCCGGGUCU